RNAcentral lists this long non-coding RNA (2799 nucleotides) under Homo sapiens (human). Its description in RNAcentral is "HSALNT0316733". The record is from RNAcentral. Lineage: Eukaryota; Metazoa; Chordata; Mammalia; Primates; Hominidae.
CAAACUGCAUCGUUUUGUAAGCUCCCUGCUAUUUUGCAGACCUUGGUCAAAGUGCAACAUUUCACGGGGGUUCGGGACAUGAGAAACAUCCUGCCUAACCACCUGACCACUAAAGAAAGAGCCCUAUCGUAUCUUGCUGGAUAAAGGUCCAAGGAACACCACGAAGACAUCCUGCCAGAACAAGGGUCAGAACUGCCUCAUCAUGGGAACAUCUUAUCAAUAUCCUGCCAGGCAGCGAGCCAUACUGCCCAGACCCCUCCCGCCCACACCUAGAUGGGCUUUCACCAUGUUGCCCAGGCUGAUCUUGAACUCCUGGGCUCAAGUGAUCCACCUGCUUUGGCCUCCCAACAUGCUAGGACUAUAGGUAUGAGCCAUGUGCCCAGCUGGGAGAGAUACUUUGAUGCAACCGGGGACCUGGGCCUGGAAGUGGUAAGGACAUGUCCAUCCUUCAGUAUCUGGUUUUACUGGGCCUAGACUGGGGUAUGUUACACGGUAUUUUCCUUAGAGGAGGAUUUAGGGCUUCCUCUUGCAUAGGCCCCAUUCAAGGUCCUAGAAGAAGCCAUACAAAAGCAUUCACAUAGCUUUUUGUGGGUAAAAUUAUACGAAGUAAUGUAUUUCAACUGUAAUCAACUGGUUAAGACUGCUGUCUCUUUCCAUUCUGACUUGCCCUUGAGCUGGUAGGUGAUAAUGUGAGUGGCAAAGGCAUUUUGGAGAUCUGGCUGAAGAUGAGCUUACAGGCUGGGUGCGGUGGCUCACACCUGUAAUUCCAGCACUUUGGGAGGCCGAGGCAGGCGGAUCACCUGAGGUUGGGAGUUCGUGACCAGCCUUACCAACAUAGAGAAACCCUGUCUCUACUAAAAAUACAAAAUUAGCCUGGCGUGGUGGCCCAUGCCUGUAAUCCCAGCUACUGGGGAGGCUGAGGCAGGAGAAUUGCUUCUAUGAAGCUCUGUUUAAAAGCAACUACAAAAAAGUUGACCCUGUCAGAUUACAGAAAUAAAGUAUUAAGCUCACAAAAACAAAGAUCAAUAGAUGGGACUUAAUUAACCAAAAAGCUUCUGCACUGCAGAAGAAAUAAUCAGUAGAGUAAACAGACAAGCACAGAGUGGGAGAAAAUCUUCGCAAUCUACACUUCUGACAAAGGACUAAUAUCCAGAAUCUACAAGCAACUCAAACGGAUCAGCAAGAAAAAGAUAAUCUCAUCAAAAAGUGGCCUAAGGACAUGAAUAGGCAAUUCUCAAAAGAAGAUAUACAAAUGACCAAUGAACAUGAGAAAAUACUCAACAUCACUACCUGGGAAAUCCAUAUCAAAACCACAAUGUGAUACCACCUUACUCCUACAAGAAUGGUCAGAAUAAAAACAUAAAAAAAUAGAUGUUGGCAUGCAUGUGGUGAAAAGGGAACACUUUUACACUGUUGGUGGGAAUAUAAACUAGUAUAACCAAAAUGGAAAACAGUGUGGAGAUUCCUUAAAGAACUGAAAGUAGGACUACCAUUUGAUCCAGCAAUCCCACUCCUUCUAUCUACCCAGAGGAAAAGAAGUCAUUAUACAAAAAAGAUACUUGCACACCCAUGUUUAUAGCAGCACAAUUUGCAAUUGCAAAAAUAGGGAACCAGCCCAAAUGGCCAUCGAUUAAUGAGUGGAUAAAGAAAAUGUGGUAUACAUAUAUACCAUGGAAUACAACUCAGCCAUAAAAAGGAAUGAAAUCAUGGCAUUCACAGGAAACUGGAUGGAAUUGGAGACCAUUAUUGUAAGUGAAGUAACUCAGGAAUAGAAAACCAAACAUCUUAUGUUCUCACUCAUAAGUGGAAGCUAAGCUAUGGGGACGCAAAGGCAUAUGAAUGAGACAAUGAACUUUUGGGGCUCAGGGAAAAGGGUGGGAGGGGGUGAGGAAUAAAAGACUACACAUUGGGUACAAUGUACACUGCUUGGGUGCACCAAAAUCUCAGAAAUCACCACUGAAGAACUUAUUCAUGUAAAAAAAAAGUAAAUAAUAAAAAAACUAAACAAGAAAAUAAAGUCUUAAGCUUAUUUUUAACUUUAAAAAAUAAAAAGAUUACUCAAACAACAUAUUCAGUGAAUUACUAAUCUAUGACUUCUUGACAAAUGUCCAUGGUAAGACAAUACUACUGUAUUAUUAAGACAAGCCCUACUUUUUAACUAAUACUUAGAUUCAAAUACUGUGACUACUUUAAGACUGGAUAAGGGCUAGGCAAAUUUUAUGUGAGAGAUUAACUCUUCUACUAUUUAGGAAAAAAACAAAGUUAAAAAUUAGUCACUAGUUCAGCCUUCUCAUUAACAUUAUUUUUGCUCUCUGGCAACUCAUUAAGGAGUAAUAGUAAAGGAAUAUCUUUUGUAUAGUGCUCUGAAGGUAAAGAUGUACCCAUGGAAAAGCAGUUUUAGAGACACACAUGACAGGAACUCAGGCAGGUCAUACACAUUCUUCCAGUCUUUCCAAAUCUUAGAGAAAAUUGAUCAAGACUUAUACUUUACUAAGAGAAAGAAAGGCCUGUUAAAAAGAUUUGAGAUAAAUACAUGAAGAAUGACUAGUUCUUUCCUAAGCUAAACUGAAAGAAUUAGUGAAUACUUCAAAAGUAUUUGUUGAAAAUUAAUUAACAUAAAAUUGCUAGACCCUAAUACAAAAAAAAAGGGAUAAAGUCUUAACUUUCCCUGAAUUGUUCUACCCUUAAACCCAAACUAUUACAAGUCUUCCUCCUGCUCCUCUCCCAGGAUCACUUGGUUUGCAAUGACUUCAUCUUUGCCUCCAGUCACUCCUCUCAGCACUUCCCUCUAGUAACUUU